This 253-nucleotide ribosomal RNA is filed under the name uncultured bacterium. RNAcentral's name for it is "partial 16S ribosomal RNA". It matches the Rfam family "Bacterial small subunit ribosomal RNA", at positions 524 to 776 of the family's 1533-position model. The record is from RNAcentral.
UACGGAGGGUGCAAGCGUUAUCCGGAUUCACUGGGUUUAAAGGGUGCGUAGGCGGACAGGUAAGUCAGUGGUGAAAUCUCCGAGCUUAACUCGGAAACUGCCGUUGAUACUAUUUGUCUUGAAUAUUGUGGAGGUAAGCGGAAUAUGUCAUGUAGCGGUGAAAUGCUUAGAUAUGACAUAGAACACCAAUUGCGAAGGCAGAUUACUAAUAAUGUACUGACACUGAUGGACGAAAGCGUGGGGAGCGAACAGG